This 253-nucleotide ribosomal RNA is filed under the name uncultured bacterium. RNAcentral describes it as "partial 16S ribosomal RNA". It matches the Rfam family "Bacterial small subunit ribosomal RNA", at positions 524 to 776 of the family's 1533-position model. The record is from RNAcentral. RNAcentral also lists the same sequence under 1 other name.
GACGAGCCUCACAAACGUUAUUCGGAAUUACUGGGCUUAAAGGGUGCGUAGGCGGUGCGGAAAGUUGGGUGUGAAAUCCCUCGGCUUAACCGAGGAAUUGCGCUCAAAACUACCGUGCUCGAGGGAGAUAGAGGAAUGCGGAACUUACGGUGGAGCGGUGAAAUGCGUUGAUAUCGUAGGGAACACCGGUGGCGAAAGCGGCAUUCUGGAUCUCUUCUGACGCUGAUGCACGAAAGCUAGGGUAGCAAACGGG